ACCCUUAAUUGAUUCUAAAUUAAUCAGUUACAUCCUUGUGGGUCUUGAUCUAGAAUACAAUCCACUCGUCACAUCCCUUACCACUCGACUUGAACCUAUGUCACUUCAAGAAGUAUAUGAUCAUCUCCUGACAUAUGAGC
Carya illinoinensis is the source of this 140-nucleotide small nucleolar RNA. RefSeq annotates it as small nucleolar RNA Z247. The record is from RefSeq and is a predicted model, not a curated record. The transcript has a single exon. Lineage: Eukaryota; Viridiplantae; Streptophyta; Magnoliopsida; Fagales; Juglandaceae.